GUUGCUGCUUGCUAAGAAACUUUAAAUGUUUAGUGUACGCUCUACCGACUUGUGUUGAUAGGACCUUAUUGUUAUGUUCGACAGGCCGAUCCGCUACUAUACAACUUUUAAAUAGAAAAGAAAACAGCUAUUGUUCCCACCGAUUCUCUUGUAUAUAUAUUUGUGCAGAACCCAAAUACACUACCAUGCUAAACAUACCGUAGUCCUUUCGCCUCGGCAUUCUGAGGUAUAUAAAUAAGUGCAUUUGCAGUGUGUAUUGUGUUAAAAAGAAAUCAAUUGCUUUUGUAAUUAAAG
This 294-nucleotide long non-coding RNA is filed under the name Mytilus galloprovincialis (Mediterranean mussel). Lineage: Eukaryota; Metazoa; Mollusca; Bivalvia; Mytilida; Mytilidae. The record is from RNAcentral.